CUCUCCUGAAGUCAGCAGCAGCACAAACUUAGUUCUGUGCAUAUUCUUCCCAAGUCACUUCUGACAGGAUUGUUCCCAUGUAGCCCAGGCACCUAAGUGAUAUGUCUAAAUGAGAGCCUUCUUUACCUCUCUGUAUCUUGAAGUGAGUGCUAAAAGAAAAAAAAGCCAGAAGAGGAGGGAUAUCGUGCCUAUGUGUUUCAAACUGUGGGCUCCUGAUUUCACCUGUGUGCUGCCUUCAUGCAGAGACGAAAGGCAGAUUUACAAAUGAUGAAAUGUAGAUAUGAAUCCCUUUGUGACAGCAGGGCACUUGCUUAAGGACUAGGAAAGGCAACUGGGAGACUGAGUUUCUGGAUAUACAGUGGCACUCCACGCUGCUACUCCUUUGUGCAGUGCAUUGUGCUCCCUCAGUGAAACAGAGAAACCUCUCUCCUAACACAGGCACUUUAGCAGGGCACAAACAGGUUCCCUUUAGGUGCUGGAAAGCUGAAAUUAGGUCUCCCCAAAGCCUUCUCUUCUACAGGCUUAACAAUGCCAAUUCUCUUACACUUCCUUGAGAACAGCCUUGAGACUACCAGAAGCUGGAAGGAGACAGAGCCAGAACAGCUGAUCCCCACUGACCAAAGGGAUAUUCUAUAUUAAGAGGUGUUGUUCUUAGUACAUAACCUGGGGAGAAAGCUGACUAGGGGUUGCUGCUUGAGAACUGACUGAGCACCAUUAGGAGCCUUCCCAUGGAAGCUGCAAGUCAGAAACUGGAGUUUGACAGCAAGUUGUCUGUGAUUUGCUUUUCUCAAGUUAUUUAUGGGCCAUGCUUCCAGCCGCAAGCCUACAAUUCUUGAAUAAGAAGCUUAUGCACUUCACCCUACCCCAUCUACUUGGAGCUGUUAUGAAAUCUGAUCUACUUCUUGAUUCUUAUGUGUGAAUAUUUCGGUUAAUGUUGAUCCUUCUACACUACUACAUGAAGCACAAGUGGAAAUAUGCCAGCAGAUAUCAGUCUUAUGAGAGGUUUUUCUUAUGUACAGAUGCCUGAUUUAGGUUUUGUUUAAUCCUUUCAAGGUCAAAAAUCCUCAAGAGACUUAGAAUUCUAGAGAGCUGUAUUUCAUAACUUUUAACAGUCCUUCUGCCCUUUUUUUAGAUAAUCACCAAAAGCAUAAAGAAGUUAGGUUGUUCACUGAAAAAUAUUGGCUGACAUAUCUAGCACUGAAAUGUCUUGCAUCUGUAUCAAUAUUAUAUCACCAGUUACUGUGCUACAUUAUUAAUAAUGGUAACCAAUUUCUUAACACUUUAAUUUUAUGUCAUUAACUUCUAUGAAACAAGUACAGCUAAUUCAGGACAUGAUAAGAAAACCAUCACAGCAAACUAUUAAGCACUCUGCAUGAAGUGAUCUAAGGACUAGAACCAAUCUACAGAAAUAUAUGUGAAUAAAACAUUCCAUGCCCUCAAGCAGAACUAUAGCUGUAUUAAUAAAAGCUUGUGGGGAAAAUCCUGUCCCUGCAGAAACCAAAGGCAAAACUCCCAUGGGUCUUUUACUGGGUGCUGAAAUCCGUAUCAAUAUGCAUUUCCUUUUCAGAUACAUUUUUCCAUACAUUAGAAUUUUGAUAUCAUUUGUUAUCAAUAGAUAACAAGUAUAUCAA
Zonotrichia albicollis (white-throated sparrow) is the source of this 1631-nucleotide non-coding RNA. Lineage: Eukaryota; Metazoa; Chordata; Aves; Passeriformes; Passerellidae. The record is from RefSeq and is a predicted model, not a curated record.